AGCAUAUCAAUAAGCGGAGGAAAAGAAACUAACAAGGAUUCCCCUAGUAACUGCGAGUGAAGCGGGAAAAGCUCAAAUUUAAAAUCUGGCGGCUUUUGGCUGUCCGAGUUGUAGUCUGGAGAAGUGCUUUCCGCGCUGGACCGUGUACAAGUCUCUUGGAACAGAGCGUCAUAGAGGGUGAGAAUCCCGUCUUUGACACGGACUACCAGUGCUUUGUGAUGCGCUCUCAAAGAGUCGAGUUGUUUGGGAAUGCAGCUCAAAAUGGGUGGUAAAUUCCAUCUAAAGCUAAAUAUUGGCGAGAGACCGAUAGCGAACAAGUACCGUGAGGGAAAGAUGAAAAGCACUUUGGAAAGAGAGUUAAACAGUACGUGAAAUUGCUGAAAGGGAAACGCUUGAAGUCAGUCGCGUUGACCAGAACUCAGCCUUGCUUUUGCUUGGUGCACUUUCUGGUUGACGGGCCAGCAUCAAUUUUGAUUGUUGGAUAAAGGCUGGGGGAAUGUGGCACCUUCGGGUGUGUUAUAGCCCUCGGUCACAUACAACAGUUGGGAUUGAGGAUCUCAGCACGCCUUUAUGGUCGGGGUUCGCCCACGUUCGUGCUUAGGAUGCUGGCAUAAUGGCUUUAAACGACCCGUCUUGAAACACGGACCAAGGAGUCUAACAUGCCUGCGAGUGUUUGGGUGGAAAACCCGAGCGCGUAAUGAAAGUGAAAGUUGAGAUCCCUGUCAUGGGGAGCAUCGACGCCCGGACCUGACCUUCUGUGACGGCUCCGCGGUAGAGCAUGUAUGUUGGGACCCGAAAGAUGGUGAACUAUGCCUGAAUAGGGUGAAGCCAGAGGAAACUCUGGUGGAGGCUCGUAGCGAUUCUGACGUGCAAAUCGAUCGUCAAAUUUGGGUAUAGGGGCGAAAGACUAAUCGAACCAUCUAGUAGCUGGUUCCU
Molecule: ribosomal RNA, 936 nt
Filed under: Adustoporia sinuosa
Lineage: Eukaryota; Fungi; Basidiomycota; Agaricomycetes; Polyporales; Adustoporiaceae
Description: LSU rRNA
Rfam family: Eukaryotic large subunit ribosomal RNA
Source: RNAcentral